RNAcentral lists this ribosomal RNA (253 nucleotides) under uncultured bacterium. RNAcentral describes it as "partial 16S ribosomal RNA". It matches the Rfam family "Bacterial small subunit ribosomal RNA", at positions 524 to 776 of the family's 1533-position model. The record is from RNAcentral.
UACAGAGGGGGCGAGCGUUGUUCGGAAUUAUUGGGCGUAAAGGGCGCGUAGGCGGUUUGUUAAGUCGGUUGUGAAAGCCCGGGGCUCAACCCCGGAGGGUCGACCGAUACUGGCAGGCUAGAGUACAGAAGAGGUAGCUGGAAUUCCCGGUGUAGCGGUGAAAUGCGUAGAUAUCUGCAGGAACACCCGUGGCGAAAGCGGCGCGCUGGACCACUACUGACGCUGAGGAACGAAAGCUAGGGGAGCAAACAGG